AACGAACGCUGGCGGCAGGCCUAACACAUGCAAGUCGAGCGCCCUUUCGGGGGAGCGGCGGACGGGUGAGUAACGCGUGGGAAUAUGCCCUUCUCUACGGAAUAGCCUCGGGAAACUGAGAGUAAUACCGUAUACGCCCUGUGGGGGAAAGAUUUAUCGGGGAAGGAUUAGCCCGCGUUGGAUUAGGUAGUUGGUGGGGUAAUGGCCUACCAAGCCGACGAUCCAUAGCUGGUUUGAGAGGAUGAUCAGCCACACUGGGACUGAGACACGGCCCAGACUCCUACGGGAGGCAGCAGUGGGGAAUCUUAGACAAUGGGGGCAACCCUGAUCGAGCCAUGCCGCGUGAGUGAUGAAGGCCUUAGGGUUGUAAAGCGCUUUCAGCUGGGAAGAUAAUGACGGUACCAGCAGAAGAAGCCCCGGCUAACUCCGUG
RNAcentral lists this ribosomal RNA (431 nucleotides) under uncultured bacterium. Its description in RNAcentral is "partial 16S ribosomal RNA". It matches the Rfam family "Bacterial small subunit ribosomal RNA", at positions 29 to 507 of the family's 1533-position model. The record is from RNAcentral.